AUUGAACGCUGGCGGCAUGCCUUACACAUGCAAGUCGAACGGCAGCGGGGGAGAAGCUUGCUUUUCCUGCCGGCGAGUGGCGAACGGGUGAGUAAUACAUCGGAACGUGCCCUGUAGUGGGGGAUAACUAGUCGAAAGAUUAGCUAAUACCGCAUACGACCUGAGGGUGAAAGUGGGGGACCGCAAGGCCUCAUGCUAUAGGAGCGGCCGAUGUCUGAUUAGCUAGUUGGUGGGGUAAAGGCCUACCAAGGCGACGAUCAGUAGCUGGUCUGGGAGGACGAUCAGCCACACUUGGACUGAGACACGGCCCAGACUCCUACGGGAGGCAGCAGUGGGGAAUUUUGGACAAUGGGCGAAAGCCUGAUCCAGCAAUGCCGCGUGUGUGAAGAAGGCCUUCGGGUUGUAAAGCACUUUUGUCCGGAAAGAAAUGGCUCUGGUUAAUACCUGGGGUCGAUGACGGUACCGGAAGAAUAAGGACCGGCUAACUACGUGCCAGCCGCCGCAGUAA
This 508-nucleotide ribosomal RNA is filed under the name uncultured bacterium. Its description in RNAcentral is "partial 16S ribosomal RNA". It matches the Rfam family "Bacterial small subunit ribosomal RNA", at positions 30 to 523 of the family's 1533-position model. The record is from RNAcentral.